Molecule: non-coding RNA, 2111 nt
Organism: Phoenix dactylifera (date palm)
Lineage: Eukaryota; Viridiplantae; Streptophyta; Magnoliopsida; Arecales; Arecaceae
Source: RefSeq, a predicted model, not a curated record
GAAAUGAGGGGGUUUGUACUGGUCCAGUGGACCCGGUUCACAUAUCGUUUCUCCGGCCGGUGGAAAGAGUCGCCCAUCGUCGCCUCUCGGGCCGCGCUUCUCCUUUUCCUUUUGGUAGUCCUCCCUCGGUGCGUUUCUUUCGUUUAGCACCCCGUCGUCGUCUCUCUGCUCCCGCCAGCGAUUCACGGAACCCCCCGGAGAACUUAUUUUUAUUAUACAAAUCCCGAAAUAGAAAGUGAGGUUUCUUUUAUUCUUCGCCUUAUAACUAUCCCCUCCCUUUCGUUUUCUUGUCAAUUGAGGGUUUGGAUCCGGUUCUUGGUCUCCCUACUGCCGCAACGCGCGAUGGAGGAAGACGGGAACGGAGGGGAAGGGAGGGUGGAGGACGAGUCGGAGCUCAGCUGCCUCGAUCUGACGAGCUUCCAGCUUCACGAUCUCGGCGAGGUCGAUAUCCCGGAGAGCCUCGUAGAGUUGGAUCUUACGGCCAAUAGGCUCACCAAGUUGGACCCGCGGAUCGGUCUCCUCUCGCAUCUCAGGAAGCUUUCCUUGCGCCAAAACCUCUUUGAUGAUGAGGGCGUCGCGCCCAUCUCCCAGUGGAAUACCAUCUCUGGAUUACGUGAACUGGUACUCAGGGACAACAAGCUCAGAGAAAUACCUGAUGUUAGCAUUUUCAAGACUCUCCUUGUAUUUGAUGUCUCAUUCAAUGAGAUAUCUUCAUUGAAUGGUUUGUCCAAGAUCUCAAACACACUAGAAGAACUUUAUGUUUCAAAGAAUGAAGUGACCAAGAUGGAGGAACUCGAGCACUUGGAUGCACUCCGAAUUCUUGAACUUGGUUCAAACAGAUUGCGGGUAAUGGAGAACUUGCAGACAUUGAAAAAUUUGCAAGAGUUGUGGCUGGGAAGAAAUCGUAUCAGGAUGGUGAACUUGUGUGGUCUGAAGUGUAUCAGAAAAAUAAGUUUGCAGAGCAACCGAUUGACAUCCAUGACAGGGUUUCAAGAAUGUAUAGCACUAGAAGAACUGUAUCUGAGCCACAAUGGAAUUCAGAAAAUGGAAGGUUUAGCCACCUUAGUAAAUUUGCGUAUCUUGGAUGUUUCAUCAAACAAACUUACUGCUAUCAAUGAUAUUGAGAACUUGACAAGCUUAGAAGACUUAUGGCUUAAUGACAACCAAAUAGCAUCAUUGGAGGGCAUAGAAGUACCUGUGUCUGGUUCAAGGGAGAAGCUUACAACCAUAUAUCUGGAGCAUAAUCCCUGUGCUAGCUCUCCAAAUUAUUUUACUACUUUGAAGCAGCUUUUUCCAAAUCUUCAGCAAAUUGAUUCUGAUAUACUAAUGUGAGGGAUCAAAUAGCAUCUUGUUUUGCAGAACAUUGAAGGCAGUCAUCAAGAUGACUUUGAGACAUCUCUUUGGUACAAGUUGGUUUGGAUGGGGCAAACAAUGUCUUGGGAGGAAGCAACAGUGCAGUCUUAAGUUGGUGCUUGGUGGAAUCGGAGAGCUUCCAAACUCAAGUAAAAGCAGUAACCCGAUUUGCUUUUUAUUUUUUUUAUCCCCCUUUUUAAAAUUCUUGUUUCUAACAGGCCGAUUUAACUUCUGCACCUCUCGCGUAAACAAGGUUCUGGAUAGAAUUUAGGUUUAAUAUAAUUGCUCUUGUAUGUUGUACGUCAAUGGCUGCUCAAGCUUUAUGAUCACUGGAUGCUUGAGUUAUUUAAACCAAGUGCAUCAUUGGCAAAACUCCUCUUCUUCUUGUUUCAUAUUGGAUGACAUAAAAAAAAAAAAUAACAGUCCAUUAUACAAGACUCCUACAUUGUUGUAGAGUGGCUAUUUUAGUAACCUCCAGAUUGUAACAGAGCAGCCUUAUCAUUGGGGCGGGCCUCAGCUUGGUUCGCAUAUUUAGAUGAACUUGGCUUGCUUAGGAAUUGUGGUGGCCACGUAACAUGGCUGGAGACUUCACAUAAGCACUUGCUCUUUUAGAGAGAGCCAUCUAUAGGAGUACAAGUUCAUAAAAUAUCAAAAGAGAAGUGCCCUUCAUAAAAUUUCAAGUACAUCUAUUGAUUCAUCAAGGAAGAAAAAAAUCAAUUAAAACAAGAGUUUUUUCAUGAAUAACUUCUUAAAUAUCG